Molecule: ribosomal RNA, 431 nt
Filed under: uncultured bacterium
Lineage: Bacteria
Description: bacterial SSU rRNA
Rfam family: Bacterial small subunit ribosomal RNA
Source: RNAcentral
AACGAACGCUGGCGGCAGGCUUAACACAUGCAAGUCGAACGCCCCGCAAGGGGAGUGGCGCACGGGUGAGUAACGCGUGGGAAUCAACCUUCUGGUACGGGACAACCUCGGGAAACUGAGGCUAAUACCGUAUAUCUCCUCAGGGAGAAAGAUUUAUCGCCAGAAGACGAGCCCGCGUCCGAUUAGCUAGUUGGUAGGGUAAUGGCCUACCAAGGCGACGAUCGGUAGCUGGUCUGAGAGGACGAUCAGCCACACUGGGACUGAGACACGGCCCAGACUCCUACGGGAGGCAGCAGUGGGGAAUAUUGGGCAAUGGGCGCAAGCCUGACCCAGCCAUGCCGCGUGAGUGACGAAGGCCUUAGGGUUGUAAAGCUCUUUCGGCGGGGACGAUGAUGACGGUACCCGCAGAAGAAGCCCCGGCUAACUUCGUG